Molecule: ribosomal RNA, 495 nt
Filed under: uncultured bacterium
Lineage: Bacteria
Description: bacterial SSU rRNA
Rfam family: Bacterial small subunit ribosomal RNA
Source: RNAcentral
GACGAACGCUGGCGGCGUGCCUAACACAUGCAAGUCGAGCGGAGAUAAGCGGAUGGUAACUGAAGUUUGUCUUAGCGGCGGACGGGUGAGUAACACGUGGGCAACCUGCCUUGGAGUGGGGGAUAACACCGGGAAAUCGGUGCUAAUACCGCAUAACAUACACAUACUGCAUGGUGAGUGUAUCAAAGGAGCAAUCCGCUUUAAGAUGGGCCCGCGGCUGAUUAGCUAGUUGGUAAGGUAACGGCUUACCAAGGCGACGAUCAGUAGCCGACCUGAGAGGGUGACCGGCCACACUGGAACUGAGACACGGUCCAGACUCCUACGGGAGGCAGCAGUGGGGAAUAUUGCGCAAUGGGGGAAACCCUGACGCAGCAACGCCGCGUGGAGGAAGAAGGUCUUCGGAUUGUAAACUCCUGUCUUCUGGGACGAAGUAUGACGGUACCAGAGGAGGAAGCCACGGCUAACUACGUGCCAGCAGCCGCGGUAAAACGUCUA